CUAAGGGUUCUCAACUUUUUCAAUUUCUCUUUUGAUUUAGAAGGGUAAGUAUUAAGUAUAUUGAAUUAAUUUUUUUAAGAGUUAUGGGAAAUUUGCUAUAAUUGAAAGUUUGGCAAUAAUCAUGUGGUAUUGAUAUGUACUUGAUGUUAUAAAUAAGGAUAUAGCAAAGAAAUAUUUAUUUGGAUGUUGAUGUUGAAGAAAGUGGAAACUUUGGAAAUGGGUUUGUGAGAUAAAUGCAUAUUCUUUGAAAUUCUUGUGAUUAUAUGAUUCUAAACACUUAAAUUAAGGAUUUGAGGUUGAAAUUCUCCAAUUUUUCAGCCAUUUUCGACCUAUUGUAGUAUAGUUGCUAUUUUUGAAAAUCUGUCCAGAUAAGCACUGUUUCUGUCCAUGAUUUCGGUGACAGAUUUUAAUAUAUAGACAUUGGUGCUAGUUUUCAAUAUUCUAGAAUUAUAGUGCUAGUUUUUGUCAAUCAUCUAAUUUUGGUGGAUUUUUAAUAUUUGAAACCAAAUUAAGUGUUGAAUAUUUAGAGUUUUGUUGUUAAAAUAAUUUAUAUGAAGGAGUAUAUGUUGUUAGUGAUCUUAAUUGGGAUUAUGAAGUUGAAAAUAAAAUAUAUCAAGUUCCCAUUGGUAAAUUAAUAUUUCUAAUGGUAGGAAAAUACUCAAGGCUCCUCUAUGAAAGGAUAUGAUUUAUUGUAGAGAGAGCGUGAUAACAUUCUUGGUAUCGAAAGUGAGGAGGCGACAAGAAGAUCGAAACAAUGAUCAACUAUGACUUGGUGAGUGGAUAAAACUUAUUUUUCAGAAAUAAGCAUUCAUUAAAUUUAAAGUUACUUAUUUUAUAGAGUUAAGUUGAUAGCAUGAUUUUCAAAAUAAAUAAAUUGAUUUUAUAAUUUGUUCUUUUUAAUGUUUGAUUCAGUUCAGUUAAAUCAUUUUUGUAGCAUGUUCUAUUCGUAUUACAUGUUUCAGUAUAGCUAAAGUUAUUUCUAAAAACCACCAGAAAGUACCCACGUGAUUUUACCCAGUCUGCAUUGGUGUAAAUGUGUUUCCACAGUAUAUGACUAGUUAUGGUAAUUUUACCCGCUUUGCACUAUUGUGAAUGUGUUUCCAUAGUGUAUGACCAGAUUAUCAGAGAUCUUUGGGACCCACUCUCGUACACACAUAGGAUUUGGGCCAUGUACUAGGGUGAUUAGCCUUUGGGGCAGCUCUGCGUACGUAUGACCAGAUUAUCAGAAUAUCAGAUUUGAAUGGCUUUGCUUUGUACAUCGAGAUUACUUUGUAUGUGAGUAAAGCUAUUCAUUGGAUACCUUUUUAGUGUGAUUUUUCAAUAUUUCUACAGCUUAUCAGAUUUCAAAUUAUAGAAUUCAGUUUAUUUAGUUCUCAGAUUAAAACUUUCAGUUUAUAGUAUUGAGCAGCAGCAAUAUUUCACAGAUUUUCAUGGAUGUCAUAUUAUUUAUAUUCGCUACAUUUUACAGUUACUUAUCUAAAAUGAAGAACAAAGAAUUUUAUAAUGUAUUCAUGUUUGAUUUUAAAAGUGUUACCAGAUUUCAGAAUUUCUCGAAGUUUUAGUAGUGCAAGAAUUUUCAGAAAAUAUGCAUAAAUGAGAAAAGUUUACUUAUUUGAAAAUUAUCCACUCACUGAGUGUUAAGCUCAUAUAUUUUUUCCACAUUUUUCUUCAUCGAACAGAUAGUAGCCGAAUUGAGCAGCUUUGGAACUUGUUGAACCACAAAAUUGAGUCACACGUCAUAAGUUGCAUGACAUCCUUUAUCAGAUUAUACAUUAUGUGUUCAUUUGAGAUACAUGUAGUUUAAAUCAGAAAAGUUUAUUAUGGGCUCAUUAGAUAGUUGGUAUCUUUAGUAUAUUUGAGGAUUGUUGAGUGUAAAGUAAGUAAAUGUCGAUUUACCAACAUUUUAUUUGAAUAGUUUGUAUUUUGAGGGACUGUCUUACCCUAUUCAUAUCAUAGGUAUUGAUUUGAGGAAAACUGGUUAUUGUUCAGGUGGUUUUAGUUUAUAUUUCAGGGGAAACUCUGUCAAAAUUUCGUAAAAAAUAUUUUCCAGUCAAAUAAGCCAAGGUUGCAUUGGUGGUGAGUCCAGCAUUCAGCUGGUAACUAUCAUCGGCGCACGACACAUG
RNAcentral lists this long non-coding RNA (2123 nucleotides) under Olea europaea subsp. europaea. Lineage: Eukaryota; Viridiplantae; Streptophyta; Magnoliopsida; Lamiales; Oleaceae. The record is from RNAcentral.